AUGCAAGUCGAACGGAGUUAUAUUGUAGCUUGCUAUAAUAUAACUUGGUGGCCGACGGGUGAGUAAUGUAUAGGAAUCUACCUAGUACUACGGAAUAAUUGUUGGAAACGGCAACUAAUACCGUAUACCCCCUACGGGGGAAAAAUUUAUUGCUAUUAUAUGACCCUAUAUUAUAUUAUCUAUUUGGUGGGGUAAUGGCUUACCAGGGCAGUGAUCUAUAUCUGAUCUGAGAGGAUGAUCACCCACACUGGAACUGAUAUACGGUCCACACUCCUACGGGAGGCAGCAGUGGGGAAUAUUGGACAAUGGGCGAAACCCUGAUCCCCCCAUGCCGCAAGAGUGAAAAAGGCCUUUGGGUUGUAAAGCUCUUUUAGUGAAGAAUAUAAUGACUGCUCUCACAGAAAAAGUCCUGGCUAACUCCGUGCCAGCACCCGCGGUAAUACGGAGAGGGCUAGCGUUAUUCAAAAUUAUUGGGCGUAAAGAGCGCGUACGCUGGUUAGUAAGUUAAAAGUGAUAUCCCAGAUCUCAACUUUGGAAUUGCUUUUAAAACUGCUCACCUAGAUAUUGAAAGAAGAUGGAAGAAUUCCUAGUGUAGAGGUGGAAUUCAUAAAUAUUAAGAAGAACCCCUGUGGCAAGCGCCUCUAUCGGGUUCAUAUCUGACUCUGAGGCGCGAACGCGUGGGGAGAAAGGGAUUAGAUACCCUGGUAGUGCACGCGGUAAACGAUGAAUGUUAAAUAUGGGAAGUGUAUAUUCUGUAUUACAGCUAACGCGUUAUACAUUCUGCGCGGGGAGUACGGUCGCAAGAUUAUAACUCAAAGGAAUAGACGGGGACCCGCACAAGCGGUGGAGCAUGUGGUUUAUUUUGAUGCAACGCGAAAAACCUUACCACUCCCUGACAUGGAAAUUAUACCUAUUUGAAAAAAUAGGGUCGGUUCGGCCGGAUUUCACACAGGUGUUGCAUGGCGGUGUUCAGCUCGUGUCUUGAGAUGUUGGGUUAAGUCCCGCAACGAGAGUAACCCUCUUCUCUAGUUGCCAUCAGGUAAUGCUGAGCACUUUAAGGAAAAUGCUAGUGAUAAAAAGGAGGAAGGGGGGGAGGAGGUCAAGUCUUCAUGGCCCCUAUGGAGUGGGGUACACACAUGCUACAAUGGUGGGUACAAUGGGCUGCAAAGUCUCGAGGCCAAGCUAAUCCUUUAAAAGCCAUCUCAGUUGGGAGGGUACUAUUCAACAAGAGGGCAUCAAGUAGAAUCGCUAGUAAUAAGGAUCAGCAAGCCACGCAGAAUACGUUAUCGGGUCGGGU
RNAcentral lists this ribosomal RNA (1297 nucleotides) under uncultured bacterium. RNAcentral's name for it is "partial 16S ribosomal RNA". It matches the Rfam family "Bacterial small subunit ribosomal RNA", at positions 55 to 1384 of the family's 1533-position model. The record is from RNAcentral.